Molecule: long non-coding RNA, 492 nt
Organism: Synchiropus splendidus (mandarinfish)
Lineage: Eukaryota; Metazoa; Chordata; Actinopteri; Syngnathiformes; Callionymidae
Exons: 3
Source: RefSeq, a predicted model, not a curated record
AUUAUUAUUGCAGAAGUAGAUUAGGUGAUUUAAAAAAAUUCUAGGGCAACAAGAUACAGCAGAGUUGCUGAAUGACAUUCACUUAAAUUGUCAUACCAGCCACAUAAAAUAAAGCAUCCAACAUUAACUUAAAAAAAAUCACCUAAAAACGAAGUUGAAAUACUGACUUAGUUGAUUUUAUUCAUUUGGACAGACCUUGGAGCAAGCUAAAGUAUUUUUAUUGAUCUUCUAAGAAGCAGAAGGUUGAAUAUCAUCUACAAUAUUGCUGCAACUGCAAAUUCUGCUUGGCACGGCUAAGUUCUCUCGCCGUAACUGAGGAGCUUCUUACUGCCAGAGCAGCAAAUCUAUCCGCCAAGAUCCCUCCGAUGUGUCUGACACUUCAAGCACACCCGGUAAAGAUGGAGAGGGCCUGCAUCUCAUCCAAAAUCCCUUUACAUUGGGGUCCCACAAGUCUCAGUGCUAGGAUUGAUGGCUGCAGAACGAAUGAUGGAC